GAUUAUGGCUCAGGACGAACGCUGGCGGCGUGCUUAACACAUGCAAGUCGAACGGGGAUUAGGUGGAAAGGCUUCGGCCCGGAAGACUUAAUUCGAGUGGCGGACGGGUGAGUAACGCGUGAGCAACCUGUCCCAGACAGGGGGAUAACACUUGGAAACAGGUGCUAAUACCGCAUAAGACCACGGGGUCACAUGGCUCUGGGGUAAAAGGAGCAAUCCGGUUUGGGGUGGGCUCGCGUCCGAUUAGAUAGUUGGUGAGGUAACGGCCCACCAAGUCGACGAUCGGUAGCCGACCUGAGAGGGUGAUCGGCCACAUUGGAACUGAGAGACGGUCCAAACUCCUACGGGAGGCAGCAGUGGGGAAUAUUGGGCAAUGGGCGAAAAACGCCUGACCCAGCAACGCCGCGUGAGUGAAGAAGGCCUUCGGGUUGUAAAGCUCUGUUAUAGGGGACGAAGGAAGUGACGGUACCCUAUAAGGAAGCCCCGGCUAACUACGUGCCAGCCGCGGC
This 509-nucleotide ribosomal RNA is filed under the name uncultured bacterium. RNAcentral's name for it is "bacterial SSU rRNA". It matches the Rfam family "Bacterial small subunit ribosomal RNA", at positions 15 to 518 of the family's 1533-position model. The record is from RNAcentral.